AUUAGCAAAACUCUCCCUGGCAUUACACUGGCCUGUACCAACAAGUGCUGUCCCAGGGCACGGCUUGAGAGUAGCUCAGGACAGGAACCUUUUUGUCCAAAACGGGAACAACUAUUUGAAUGUUUGCUGGGAACAGUAUUAGGGCCAUUUUAGCAGUUCAGAGCACAGACAGCCCUGUUUAAUGGCACAGGCCCAUGGCUGAACAUUGCCCAAUUUGCUGGUGUAAAUAUACUCAUAGGCUGUUGUUUAUGAUCACCUACACCACAAAAAUUGUAAAGGAGACUCCAUCUCUGUCACAGCCCCGGCAAAGAGCCCUUUGAUGGUGCUACAUGUUCAGCACAGCUUCUGUGAAAUCUUUUUCUGGCUCCAAAUCCAGCAUUAGCAGAACUGAUAGGAGUGUGUUACCAGGCUAUAAAAGCCUUUACAUUGGGCAGUUGGCGCUACAGGAAUGGGAGAGGCUUUCUCUGGUUGUCUAAUGCGGAGCAGUGGUGGUUGUAGCAGUAUUGAGUGUUGCAGUACUAUGAGUUCCUGACUGGUUUGAAACCACCAGUGACCUUAAUGUAGUGGGAACAUCUUCCUCAGCCUUCAUCCAGUCUCUGCUUUCCCCAGGGAGAUGACUUCGGUGAUACGGUCACAGUCUGUGAGAUGCUGAGCUACAAAACUUCAGAUCUGCCUCCUGCAGAUCACUUGGCAGCAAGCGGGCAGUAGCUUCUGCCCACUCUGAAAGUGGAUCUGAGCUCCUGCCUUGUAUAUUCUGUAUUUUAUUCUGUGCCCAGCAUCUGAAAGCCACCAGCAUCCCUAUGAGCCUUCCCUUGCCAGUGCUGCUUCAAACCAAGUGCAACAGCGGCUGUGCAGGCGUAAGAGCCAUCCCCAGAGGAUAUUGGUUCUUCCUUCGCUGUUGAGUGAAGGUAAAAUAUAAUCUCUGCUGCUGUGUUGAGAGGAGCACAGGAAGGAUUCUGCCUGUCUGGAUACUCUAAUUAAUCAGAUUUGGUUCAGUUCCCUCGUCUUGGCUCUGAGCUGCGCAUUAGUUCACGAUCAAGCGCUGCACCGAGGAAGGCUGAUGUUUUCCCUUCUCUCCUGCCAGGCAGGGGAAAGCAGCGCAAGAGGGUUUGGAAAGCCACUGCUGAGUGAUCUUGCUCUUAAUUGCACUCUGCAGGCUGGAUUCGUAAAAGCCGGAGGACACAUCAGGUUGUUCUUGUUUGUUUUUCUGCCGAGUUCAUUUAGAAACAGGGGCUCCCACCUUUGUACUGAAGAAACAUCAUUUGUUGCACUUGCUGUUGCAGCCGCUGAGAGUUGCAGGUACAGGGGAGGAAGGGAAUACUAGAAAACCAAACCCAGACACGGGGUGGCUUUUAUUCACACAGAGAGCAGAAAGGCUCAACAGCAGCAAGUAAGAAUGUGCCAGCCUGCAAUGCACUCAGACAAAAGGAUGUUAUUGAGUGUGAACACCCAGGUCCUGUUCAUCCUUGUGAAUAAAUCUGCCACUAUGAUCUUCCAACCAGCGUGUCCUGACACGGGUCUCAUACCUUGGGAGCAGGUCUGGCUCGGUUGCAGAACAGCAUCCAUGUUCAUUUUAACCUGGAGAAGAGCAGCAGGUGACACGCUGCGCCCUGGCGGUGCCUUUGUGGUUGCUCGGCUGGCUGCUCGGGCCUGCCCGCACCCCAAAGCCUUUCUCGUCCCUGCAGGUCCCUGUGCUGUCCCUUCUCUGCUCAUCCCCAAGCUGUGCCAACGAGCACCGAUGUGGCCGUGAUUCUGGAGAGCUGUUGACGGACAGUUUCUCAGCCGUUCAUUAUAGAAUAUGUUAUGUCAGCCCACUGCUCUCCACACUGUGAAAACAUAUAUUAUUCCUACAGGUUGCUUCCUGUGGCAGGACGCAAACCCCCGUCUCUCCCCCUCCCUCCUUCAUCAUGGAAGGAGUAGACACAUCUCUCUCUCUGCUACUUGCGGCUGACAGCUUAUUUUGUUUGGCCCCAGAGCCCCCUGGCCAGGGCCGUUAGGAGAAGGGAGUGCUGAGGCGCCAAGGGGCCGCUGUGCGCCCGCAGCCAUUGUGAGGGAUGCUUGGGGGCCUCAAUGGCGCCCUCAGCCAGUGUGGGGGUGCAGAGAAGCUUCUGGAAUGCCCGCAGUCAGAUCUGAUCAGCCAAUAAAACCUGGGACUCUCAUCGAGACUCCGCCCCUUGCCGCGAGUCUCCUGGAGCGUGCGCGAGGUGCUGCCGCCGAGACCCCCCCGGAUGGAGACUGCGCCUGCCUUCCCGCCACCUGCGGCAGAGAGAUGUCUGCUGCCUGGCUUGCUCCUGCUGCAGGACUGAUGGAGAGGCAAACUUGCCUGGGAGACACUGCUGUGAUUAAAAUGUUGGGCAGAUCCUUGAAGGAUGAAGCAGCAAUUUCUGGCUCACAGCUGCAGGAAAGGAACAACAAGCAGGAGAAAAAAACCUGAAACACUCAAGAUCUGGAAAAUCUGCUGGUAAAUACUAAUUAUUCCUCCUCCUUUUAUUUCUCUGCUUUUGAACUUCAGUCUUGGUCUUUUGUUAAUAAACUACGUGAGUAUCAGCCCAGAGCAGCAGUGUGAGCAGCACAAGGGAUGCAGGAGCCUCCCGAGCUCCGUCCCAGGGCUCGACACAAUCCAGCCGGUGACCUCCGCACAGACAUUUCACCUCUCUGCCCCAGCCUUGCCGAGCCCCGUGAUGGAUUUCAGCUCCUGGGAAAGCUGCAGGGAUGACAUGAUGGUUGCGAGGAGCCUCUAGGAUGCAAAAGCAAGUUGUUUCUUCACUGGAGUGGGGGGUGGCGGGGAAAUAAUAACCCUGAUCUGACCUCCUUUCCCAGCCCUUUUACAGAGUCGCCUCUGAGUUCAUGCCCUUGCGCAGCCUCCCACAUCCUCUAUCAUUUAAAAGGAGCAUUUUGAGUGCACACUUGCCCUGGGUGCUGAGCGGCGUUUCACCCUGUAACCUUUAAGCAAAGGCUCUGUCCUUCCACAGAACUCGGCUUGUUUGCUUGUAAAACCAGGGGGAAAAGAUUUGUGAAUGUGGGGAUGGAUUUCCAGCCCCUCGGGUGAUGUGGGGAAGCCUCUCCCUAUGGAGCCAGCACUUCCCUGUUAAUCAAUAUCCUUGCAAAGAUAAGGAUCUGUUAAUGACAGCAAUAAGCCACAGAAAAAGCCUGAGAGAGAGCAGUAAGUGAAUGUUUUAACUCUCUUUAUAGCAGAAAACUUUCUGGAGGCUAUUCAGACUUAAUUGCUGGGAAUUAGGGUGACUCUAGGCUUCAGACCCAAAAAACUAGAAUCUCUUAUAGGAUGGAAAUUCCGUGGGUAAACUCUCCUUUCUGUUAAUAACAGUGGUGGGGAGCGAAAAGACAGAAGAAUAUGGCCCUUCUGCUCCCAUUUCCAGAGAUCUUCUGGUCCCCCUCAAGUGGCAUUUGUGCCUUAUUUUAAUGAGCCCACAUUCCGCCAAAGUCAAAUGAGUUCUUGAACCGUUGACCUUAAUGGGAUUUUGUGUUGUCAGAAUAGUAGGCAAAGAUUAUUGCUUAUAUUAUACUGUGCACACAGACAAUAUGAAUAAAAUGAGGGCUGAUCCAACCUGCAGGAUUACAGCAUUGUUCUGCAAGUGCUCCUGGUAAUCAGAGCGUGGAACAAGCCAUAAAAAGGAGCACAGUGGUUACAGAUGAAACAGCAAUAGGUAAUUUUAUGACCACUAAUAACCUUUGAUGCUGUGCAAACUAAGACCGUGAUAAGGGUAACAAACCCUCAUGCUUCAGGACAUAGGAACACUUGCAGGGGAAGAGGAAUUCAUUUUGUUUUGCCCACUGAACAGCCAGCUAAGUGCUUUAUGGGUGCUUCUGCCCUUUCUCUGAAGCUUCAAGCCUUAUCUGCACUUUGGAGUGCAAUGGAACCCAAUAGAAAAUGUUUUGGUCAGACAUGGGAUUUUACUACCUGAUACAGUGAUUUUCAUUAUCUUAAAUCCCAUAAAAAUAAAUGGGAUGUCUGCUCCAUUAAGCUCAUUGGUUUUUUGGCCCCAAAGAGUAAUAGGGUUGAUGUAUCUGAAAAGGCAAGGGCAAAGUUCUCAGCCUAGGUGCAUGCUGUUAGAAUUAUAUGAAUGUGAACCAGAUUGGGACUCUCUGCCUUUGUUUCUAGUACAGCAGUAUCAGCUAUGAAUUUACUCACCAAAAUACAAGGGAAAUGGAGGUCCUGAAGGACUGAUUCAGUUUCAUGAAGUAUUUUCUUUGCUAAAGAUAGAGGCAGAAUGACAGAAUGAGCCCUGAACAUCACCUGAAAUAAGCUGUGCAAACAGGUUACUGCAUGUUAUUAACUCCCAGUGGGUACACCCUUCCUCUGGAAUAAAAGCAUCCAAAUUACCCACAGGAAAUUUAAAUGGAUUUAGCUCAUUCAGAACAGGGAUCUUAAUUUUAGAUGUGUUUUGCUCUAAGAUUCACUCCCAUAUUAAUCCAGUUUAACUUAAGCACUAAGUGUGAAAUGCAGACUUUAUGCUGGUAGCAGCACGAGGCUUUUACUGAGAUAUUGCUCUGAUAAAGGGAGCAGAAAGUCCACACAGGAGGGAAAACGACUUUAUAUAUGCCCUGGGUCAGACUCUUCCAGGCAUUUUCAUAUUGUCCUUGCAUAUGAUAACUUGCAACAGCAAAUGAAGUCUAAUGACAUUUCUAGGAGAACAAUAGUUUUAAUGGAGUAGCUUUGCCUUUCUUUCAUGAGCAGUGUAAUUAUAAGGCGGCAUUGUGCUAAAUGUUUUUGGGUGCUGAAAUAUAUAAUUGAUGAGUGUAAUAUAGGACAUGCCACCAAAACGAUUUCUAAUUAGGAUGAAGUGUAAGAAGUAAAUCUGAUUAGAAUGAAGGCCUCCAGCAGCUCGGGUGUUGCCUUCGGUUCAGUGCGGAGCUGCUCUGCUGGGUCCCUGCAGGGCUCCCAGACAACCUGGCUGAUGUCAGAUCCUCCCUUGCUGGGCACAAGGAGUGGCCACCCACCCAGGGCAGAUGUGCCCUUCUCUACAAGAGAAAAGAGCAGAGAUCUCUAGCAACAGGCUAUGGGGAAAAAAAAAAAAAAAAGAGAAAAGGAAAAAGAUCUGUGGGAGAAAGGAGUCAUUUGAGCUCAAUAAACGGUGGUUUAAUUAAAUGUAUCUCCCCGAGGGCCCCGUCUCCAGGCAGGUACGGGCUGAGCAGUCGGCGGCGCUGGCUGCGCUGCUGCGAGAUGAGCGGUGCAGGCACCGCGCUGUGUACGAGCUGUAAUUCUGUGAUUCCUGCGGCAGCGCAAGAUCCGAAUGAGCAUCACCAGUGAGAACUGCAGGGUCUGCUCAUCGGUGCCAUCAGGACGCUGCUCCAGGGCUUGGCGAGAGGCCCCAUGGGGAGCAGGGGACAAGGGACAGUGGGAAUGUCGCCUGGAGUGAACGCUGCCUUCAGGAAAAGAGAUGGAGGAGGUCCAUCCAAAAGAUUUGGAUGUUCUUCGAUGCUUUUUCAGUCUGUUUUAGAUGCAGAGUGUGGCAGACUGGCCAUCAAAGAAGUGGAAAACGGUGUAAAACCUUGGGGAGAUACCUUAAAAAUGCAGGAAGCAGUUAGCUGCUCACUCCCUGCUGCAAGUGCAAAGAUGCUAACCCUGCUGUGUGCAUCUCUGUAAAUCCACCUGCAGGAGGCAGCGGGAGGGGAAGGGGCUGAGAUCCCCUGCUCCAUGCACCCCUGUUCAGCUGCCUCUGCAGGGUCUGCAGCGUCCUGCAAACCUCGGGGCAGCAGCUCUGUAGGAGGGGGCAGGGUGCAAAGCAACAUUGGUUUUCCUGCUGGAAGAAUUGUCUUAUGUCAGGUUCUGCUAACGGUCUAACCAGCACUGGUAGUCCUGGAGAUGGGCAAACUUGAGAGUGACCAGUGGAAACCAGGAGCAGCUCCUCACUGGGUACGUGGGGAUGUGCCCUUAGAAAUAUGAUGCUCCGUUUUUCAGAGAAUGCAGUGUCGCCUUUGACUUUUGGGGGAUCUCAGCCUGUUUUCCAAGAGGAAUGACAUUCAUCAGCCACAUUUAUGGAGCUAAAACCACCUUUCUUUGAAUCGAAGGCAAGAGGCAGUUUUGUGCUCCCCAGACACACAUGCACCCCCACUCUUCUUCUCCCCUGCUCUUUUUGCCUGCUUUCCAAGUAAACUGCCUUUAUAGCAAGAUUCAUCCUGUUUAAAUAUUAAAUAGCAAAGCCAUAUAAAUUAAUGGUGCUGUUUUAAAACCCUCCGUUAAAGCCAGGCCUAUCAGCAAUGACAAAUUGUCUCAUUAUGGGACAUUAAUUUCUUGUAAUUUAUUUUAGUGAGUGAAGGUAAAUUUAUGGUUCCCUUUUCCCUGGGGCAGUUGAGACCCAGGGCCCAGGUCACAGAGAGGUCACCGAGCCCCAGAAGAACUGGACUGAACAUCUUGCCAGGCAGGGAGGGAAGGGAGGAGAGAAUUAAUGAGUGCAACCUGCAGCCGGUGCCAGAGCAGCAGCGAGCCCUGCGGUCCCCAGCUCCACAGUCCCCAGCUGUCCCCACGACGGCUUCCAUCUCAACUCUCAGCAGCCCUCGCAUCUCCCCCAACAUUAAAUUACGAUGCACGCACCAGUGUAAGACAACUGUGAGACCUCAGCCCUGGUGGAGGCACGUUCUUGGAGCACCCACCUGCACAGCAUCAUCCUGAACUCUCUGCAUGUUAAAAACAAGGGGUUUGGGGGCUUUCUCAACCCAUCUUGCUCAAACAUGCACAGCAAGGUGGGGUAAGGCAGAGGGACCCAGGUUACCUGUGGUCCUGACUGUUGUUCCCACACCUGCACCUGACAAUCUGAAAUGUCUUUUGGACUCAUCAGAGGAUGGGUGGGGAUUUUUCUCUCCCUUUGCUAACGGUGCACUUUUCGCAGCUAACGCAGCACAUUUUUGGCUAGAUAUAUAUAUAUACAUGUGAAGUAAAUAAAUUAUGCAUGAAGGGAUUAUUUUUUUUUCCUUAAAUCCAUUAUAAACGCAGUUAUUACAUUUGAAUCCUUGAUGAGCUAUGUACUGCACAAAACUAAUUUAAUGACUUCUUGAUUCCCAAAUCAGCGUGCAGAGGCUCCUCAGACCCAGGCUGGGCUUAACCCACUGAGAAAGCAAUAGGAUCGCAGCUGAUGUUUCUGAGGCACCUCCUGUUCCACAGGGCUAACGGAGUGGUUUAUAAUCCCGCACUGAUAUUUUCACACCUGGAUGCAUAGAUCCCGGCCCAGAGAUCCCAAGUGAGUGUGGUUCGUCAUGAGCUGCUCAGCAAAUGACUGGGUUUUUUUGGCUGGGAAAAGGAAGUUUUACUUACAGGUUGGAAAUGAGGUUGCAGCAGCCCCGGUGGGGGCUGUAAGUGGGUUACUGUGAUUGCGGGUCGGUCUGGCCCUUCCUCCUCCACACGUUGGAAAGUGGGUCUUCCCAUCCCAAAGGCGAGCUGGAGAAAGCAGGGCAGAGAGGCUGGCGUUCGGCAGGGGAGAUGUGUUCGUGAUGUUAGACGUUUGCAAAAGGAGAACACAAGGAGAAAUUAUAUGUUGUACUGGGGAAAAAUAUUUGCUUGGUGAAAACCUGCACAGGGCAGGGAACCCUCGAGCGCUGGUGCAAACGGGAUUUCUGCUUUUCAACAGAGAACUGGGGACGGCAAGAACUGCUCCCCCCUCUGGCUCCUCAUCUACAAAGACUUUCCCCUCCUCAAAUAACACUUCACUGGCCUAAAAGAUGCUGAGAUAUUUCCAGCACCGCUCUGAUAUUUGCACCCCCCUCCAAGGAAGGACGUUCCUGCUAUGGAGGGGAAUGCAGCAGGGGCUGGAGGGAGAUGUACCAUGCCCGAGCAGCCAUGCCUGGAAAUGAUUGCAUGGCAUACAGGCCUGUGAAAUCAUUUCCCUUGCAGUAAACUGUGAGCAUCGAGUCCUGAUCUGCCUUUUAAAAAAAAGAAAGAACACCGAAACGCCAGCAGCGUGCACACUCACCAGAGGGAAAACGCUUUUCACAUCAGUGCAUGGCUACCUGCUUCCACAAGAUGUAAUUUCCCCCGCAAUUGCCUUCUGCUCCAUUAGCGCUUGCUGAAGACACAGACCAUUGCUGCUCCUCAAAGCACAGCCUGGGCUUUCUGUUCCAACAGCCAGCUGCCCAAAUGAAAGCAAAAGCUUCACUGCGGGGUAAAUGACAAGGCUUGCGCUCUUCUCUGGAACAUGGACACAUGCCUAUCAAGUCACCGGGUGUUUGCUAAGGGAUGGUAAUUUGCCUGUUGUCUCCUGGAUAUAGGACCUGUAGCUUUGCUUAAUCCUUCUUUGGUGAAGUGAAAAGUUAUAUUACCUUGCACUUGCCUAUGUGCUGUGUCUGCACAACACAGCCAGCCUGGGGUGAAUUCUGCAGACAUGAGAGCUCAAAGGAAACCCCAGAUACAGGUCUGCAGAGGCUUUUAUUACACAUCUUGUUCCAAAAAGCAAGCAAGUAAACGAAUGUCAAAACAUGGCUGUUGUCUGAGGCUCAGAGGGUGGUGUAAGGGUCAUGCAAGGAUAAGGGGUGGCAGGGGUUUGCUCCAUCGUACUGGAAUGAUCCAAGGCUGUCACAGCCCACCCCUGGCACUGCCCCGUGUCCUGAGAACCUCAUGUCCGUCUGUCGAGCCCUCCAGGGAUGGUGACACCAGCACUGCCGUGGGCAGCCUGUUCCAGUGCCCCACAGCCCUUUCCUCUGCUCUCUGAUGGGGAUACCUACUCAGCUUCUAGUUCUGGGGAUCAAAGUGCUUCCUUACCUUGCAAUGUUCCCAAACCCUGUGUUCCUGUCACGUGUCACAUGCUGCAGAUCAGAGCUGGGGACUUUACCCAGCCUGAAAAAACUACUUUAGGUCUGUCAGGAGCACUUUGGAGACAGCACCAACCUGCAGGUUAGUCCCUGCCUGUGUCAGUGUGGAGGCGCUGGAGGGGAAUGAACAUCCCCUUACAGGGACAACUGUGAAGCAGCUGGGCUCCCGUGAUGAGCUUUUAUCUGCUCCGGGAAGGUUUUAUGUUUAACAGCAACACAGCUUCUGCAUGGCGUGAAUCUUCUCAGGAGGGCACGACCUUCGCUGCCCCCGCUCCUCCUGCAGAGCGUCCCCGCCACCAGCAUCAGCACCCUGCCACAGCGCCGUGAUUAAUUGUGCCGGUGCCCAGCUCUCGUCUGGGCUGACUGACAGGAGGGGAGCGUGACACUGAGCAAUGGCAGCACCUUUGGAGUCCAGGAGAAAUUAAAUCAAGUCUAAAUUAAAUCAAGCCUAAAUUCCUGAGGAGAAUCAAACCUGGGUUACCUAAAUGUUGGAGGAGCACCACAAAUACAGACAGAGUGAGUAAAGAGGAAAUAACACUUCUCAAGCCUGCAGCUUUGUUACACACCUUAUAAAUGAUUUAUUUUUAAUUAUGAAAAGAGCUACAAGCAGCAUAAAUGCAAACAGCUCACAUUUUAUGUUGCUUACAACCAAAUUUUAAUCUUUUCUUCAUUUAUUUUGCCGUGAUCUUCUAAUCAGUUCCUUUCCCACAUGGAAAGGAGACAGUUUCAGUCCGAGGUGAUGAUUUUGGGGUUAAAGGAAGGGUUUUGAAUGAUCAGAGUGAAGUCUCCAGCACAGGCUGCCUGGCUCUGAGGACACUGAAUCUGCUGAAAUAUAUAUAUAUAUUAAAAAAGUAUAUGUAUAUAUAAAAGAUUGGCAUUGCAACAGAGAGGUUUGUGGUGGAGAAGCAAUGCCUGGAGUUGCUGGUGGUCUGCAGAACAGCAGCUCGGGGCUGUGGGUGGCACAGCCUCUGCUCCCGGCUCCGGGGCAGCGCGGAGCAGCUGGGAGAUGUCAGAGCAGCAGCAAACGUCACCUCUCGUGUCCUAGAGAAACCGAGAUGGAUGUAAACACAGAGCAAGCUCCUGGGAGCAAAGGAAAGCUUGAAAACCUUCAACGAGACCCCUGAAGCCAACCCAGCACUGCUGUUUGUACAUCGUUCCGCGUGUAAAUCAGGACACUUGUGCUUCACACUCUCUUUUCCAGCUUUCUAUGAGAGAUUUCGGAAGCCUUGACCCUUCAGGGACAACCAUUCCUCCUGGGCGCUGCUACCUGCACGGCUGCCCGCAAUUACACACCACAUUAGCGGUGUUAUUGAGAUUACGUUCUGCCAGCUACACAAAUGAGCUGCUCUCCUUCCAGCAGCCAGAGCCGCAAAGGACUCUUCGGAGGGGGGGACUUGGGAAUUAAACCAAAAAACAAGAGCUCCCAGGUCCUGAUUACAGGCAAAUGGUAUCGAGCAGCGCAAAGAGGCAGCAACGCCGCUUGGACAGGGUUGGACAUGGAGGUGAGGUUCUCAGAACAUGGGGCAGUGCCACGGUGGGUUAGGGUUGGACUCGGUGAUCUUUUCCAACCAAAAUGAUUCCAUGAUUCUAAGUUGGUAUCUCCAUGAGAGGCAGCAGUGCCCAGCGGGGCAUGAGAACCCACCAUGUUAUUUAAAAUCUGUCUGUGACACAUGCUUCACUGCCCAGAAAUAGCCAGGAGAGCCUCAGACUGCUGCAUUUUGGUCCUCUCUCUGCUACUUGUCAGACAGAUUUUAUUUAGUAAGUCAUGGUGUUCCCGUGUCUCAGUUUCCCCAGCACAAUAGGGAUAGUGUUAGUGACUUACCGUGGCCAAUCAUCCAGAGUUAGGGAUGGAGAAGGCAGUUUCAGAGCUCUUUGCUCGCUGGCUCCAACAUACACCUUUCCUGGACACUUCCUGACCAGACAGCAAAAUGUGACUCGGGAUUUGCUCAGCACGCUGGGCUGUGGACACCACAGUACGGCCUUUUUACGUUCCUCCCAGCGCAAAAUGUCAGAGAGGGGACAGAUUAAAAAAAACACCUUUAAUCUAACUUCUCCCUCAAGCCGGAUGAGUGUGUCUGUACGUACACAGCCCACAUCAACAGAUUUCGGGUUAAUUUCCCGUUCCCUAAUGACUGACAAAUGGUGUACAAAGCACUGGAGAAUCAAUAUAGCUUGACCCAGGGACUUUAUAUCCUCAGGGGUCAACUCGUCUGUGACAGGUCUGAGACCCUGAGAGCGUGGAAACCCGGAGAUGUGCCAGAUGUUGCAGGCGCUCGGGGUAUUCCAAGACCUUGUAUAAAUUUAACCCGUGUCAUAUGUAUCUGUGCAGGGCUCAGGGGAAUCCCAGGGCUAAAAUUGCUGACGGGGAUAAUUAAUGUUAAUCCCAGUUAAACUGGCAAGUCUAGAGGCGACUCAGUGACCUGCUGGGACCAAUAUCAUUAUGUUUUCAUCUGAACUGGUGGGACGAGGCUGAGCAGGGGGAACCAAGAGACCUCCAGCUCUCAGGAGCUUUAUACACAUCAAGAUUUUGGUGUAGUGCUUGGGAAUACUUCAAAGUAAGACUGUAGGUUGAUUUGUGAGACUAGAAAUUAAGUUGGCAUCACAGACACGUAUCAUGCCAAGGAAAUUGCAGGGAAAAUGUAGACAUGGCACACAAUGUCCUUCUCGUUCUCAUCUCCUCCUGCAGGAAAUAGUGGAAUCUGGGAAGUUCCCCAGGUGGAAACCUUCUUGCAAUAAAGCGAUGGAGAGCUUUUGAGAGAAAUACACAGAGUUUCAGCAUUGUUUGUGAAUUUAGCUGAGGAUUUCGACGCUGAUCAUGAGGGUGGUUCAGAGGAGCAGGCUCAGGUCUCCAGAGUCUCUCCUGAUGCCCUUGGAAAUCUCAGCUUUGCUCUGGAAAUCUGGACCACACAGUGUGUUUCUAGCAAGAUUAAUUGUUGGCCUCAGACAUAUCAAAGCUAUUUCUCUUGUGAUAUUUUGCCUCUUCGCUUCUUGAUUUCUCAGAAAGCAGUUUCCAGAUUCUUGCCACGAAGCAGCUGCCUCCGCGGUUGAAUUUUGAAGACAAGGUCUUGACUUGGUGCAAUUUAUCCAUCCGCCUCACUUGUGCCUCUCAGAUUUCCUCCUCCUUAGCAGAGGGAACAUUGGACAUGAUGGAUGCCAAGCGCAGCUGUGUGUAUUUCAUUUUGGGUUAGUCCUAAGGCCAGCUCAGAUCUCUUGUUUCCUGCAAAACGAUUUGCUGUGCACGCUGCUGCGGUUGUAGAAGGACCAUGCAACACCUCUGUAAUUGCCAUAGCAACAUGGAGCAAAGCAGGUUGGUUCAGGUCUGCAGGAACAGGGAUGAAAAAUAGAGAAAUGAAGGUGAAAGCGAUUCUGCCCGAGCGAUGCCCCUACAGCAAAACAAGAGCUGCUUGCGUCCACCCAGCUGGGGUGAACAGUUUUCUCCUGAUUUUCCUCACCUCUCACGCGAAGAAAAUGGAAAAGCGAUGCAAACGCGAAUCUGGCGGAUGCUCGUCCUGAGCGUCACCCGCUCUGAUCUCCUUGACCCUGACUCGGGCAAGUGGCUCUGGGUGUCUUAAGUCCCAUUUCUUUCCUUUCCUACCUCAGACAUUUUGUCCUCUAAGCAUGCUGCUGCCAUAUAGAUAAUUAAAGCCGUACAGGUAUUUAAGGCUGAAUCUUCAGCUCAGGUAAAUCAAGUAAUCUAGAAAUCACCUUUUUUUGACAAUUCAAAUUUUACCCACACACCCACUUGUACAUCAGCUGCUGCUUCUGGAGUCGCUCGACUUCCGAGGAUAUUUUCUGGGUGAACCAAACAUGAUUUUCAACAUUUUUCAUUGAAAUUGUUUGAAUUUCUCAAAAGCAAAAUAAAAAAUAGCAGGAAGUCAAGCACCAUUCCUACUUAGAAGUUCUUUCAUUGAGGGGAAUAUAAAGCAGUUUGGGGAUGAUAUAAAGAUUAUUCAUUUCCAGUUGUUCUAGUUGCUCACCACAAUAAGAAUUCACUGUUUGGUGAGCGUUACUCGUGCUGUUCGAGCUCUCUGAGCAAGCCGGGUGCCACGUGUUUGCUUGGUAUUGAUUUGUGCAGAAGGUACUUGAACUGGAAAGUUCUUCUUGGAAGCUGAAGAUUUUGGGAUUUUUUACAUUGAGGGGGGAAAAAAAGGCCCUGAAUUGUGUUGAUGGAUGUAAUAGAGCAAGAGGAAUAUCAAAUACAGAGCUGAAUAAUCCGCAGUCCAUCUCUGGAAUUUUAGGGGAAUUUAACUAAGGUAUUGGCAUUAUGGGCUUUGUGAAAUUCAUAGCCACAAAAAGGCAAUUUAAUUUGUCGGCUCUGAAAAUGUUCAGGACCACUUCCAGUUAAAUUCCCUCCUAUUUCUGCCAAAACACUUCAUUUCAGGAGUGUGACAGGUCUGUAGAGGCUCUGUUAGAGAGACUCUUCAAAAACACAGAACACCCUUUAAACCCCGUGAGCACAGAGUCCGGCUCUGCGGCCUCCGGAGCGCUCGCCAUGGAGAACCAGGACGCUCCUCGCGCUGCUUGAGCCUUCAGCGGCACAGGAGACAGCCUGAGAUCAUCCUGCAGAAACACGGACCACAGCCUAAGAUCGUCCUGCAGAAACAUGGACCACCGCCCGAGAUCGUCCUGCAGAAACACGGACCACAGCACCUUACCAUCUGGCUGUAAUGACAGGUUGAGCUCCGGCACAGCUUUACCAAAGCUGCCCUGUCUGGAUUUAAGGAUUUCAGGGGAUGCAGAUACCACUAUAUCUCCUGGUAAUUGCUUCUGAUGCUUAAUUACCUUCCCCGUUGAGCCCUUGCUCUGCUGGAAGGGUUUGUCUCGGCUGGUUUGUGGGGUGCAGGUUGUUACGUGCUUAAGGAUGGGGUUCAGCCCCAGACUGGGAUACCCACAUUUAGGUGUCUGAACACGGGUGGCUACACAUGUUUAUGUGUCCAAGCUCAUGUUUUGGUCAGUGCAGAUGGAUUCUGUUUUGUUUGACUUUAAUUGCUUUUUGGCAAGGCCUCAGUGGGUGCAUUUUGGCUUUUUAAAAGCCACAUUUUACAAUCACAGCACCUUCUGCUCUUAUGAAUUCUCUGCAGUUCACAGGUCGCAGGUUGACUAAACCAGCCCCAGACAGGUUUAGGCACCAUUCCCAUGUUAAACCUUUUAUUUCGGCACACUUGGCAAAUGUUUCUCGCACAGUGGUUGAGAGACUGGUAAAUAUACAGUCAAAGUAUUGGCUGGUGAUGCUCAUGGCAGCCUAUGCUUUGAUGGCCUCUUGAAAGUGUUCCUGUGCUCUAACCCUCCCUCACCUUCUCUGGUGUAUGACCACGAAAUUUAAGCCAAAUUAUGGUGUGAUCUUUUGUCUGGAUUUCAAUUCCUGUAAUAAUUAGCCAUGAAUGAUUUUUUUUCUUUUUUUCAGGCUGUAAUGCAUUAUUAUCAGAUUAGUAUGCUAAUUUAUACUACAAAGAAAUUAAAGCAUUUGCCGUGGCAUUAAGUUAUUACUUUAGAUAUAAAUCCCUUGUGGCAAUACGGAGUAACUCUCCAUUUUAAUGCCAGGCUCAGGGUGUGCAAGCAACAAAUGAUCUCCCCAGCACAGAGUUUUUAGGGACAAAUUCAGUCAGUUUUCAUGGUGUCUGGACGAUGUUUUUAAUCAAUGUGGCAAACAGCAGGAUGCAUGUUUUAAUUGUUUCCAGUCAUCUGGGUUCAGUGGCAUCCUUUUGGGCCACAGACGUGAAUCCAGCCGAGCAAAGAGACCCAUUAGAUGCAGAGUCUGGGCGAGCAGGUCCUGUUGGACUGAGUUGAAAAAUACUGAUGGCAGAGACAUUUUCACCCAGGAAAGCACAAAAAAUGAAUAGUUCCAUCUUCUUCAUUUCCCUCCCAUAACAUACAGACAUUUUUUUAACGUUACUCAAACAUUUUGUCUCCCAAGAUAAAGACCAUUCCUAUUAAAAACUGAGACUUCAGAUUCUAGGCUGGAUCCUGGGAGAGACUGGGCCAGGUACAAGAUAAUAUUUCCACAAUGUGACAGCAGCAUCUUUAGAACUUUCUCUGCCUCGGGGAGUUUUUAAACCUGGGCUGUUGGGCUUUGGAUUAGUACUGAAAAAGAAGCUCAAAUGUCAGGAUUUCCAACAGGACAGAGAGUUUGGUUUUCAGCCAGUGCCGAUAAACGAGCUGGUUCAGAUCUCAGCUCCGACCAGGCUGGUGCUGCCAUCUGCUUUGGUGAAGAUCUGAGCCCAGAGCAGCCCCUGGGCUGUGGUGGUGCGUGAUGGACAAAACCACCUCAUCACCAUCCCAUGGACAGUCUUAUUUUUCUGAGCUUUUCAAGGAAGGAGCCAAAGGGUUUUUUAGGUCACAUACCCAGGUAGACCCCAAAAAUCACCCACCUGCCCAGCCCUCGUGCAAAACAACUGCAGUGUGAAUGAGUGUGUGAACAGGGUGUUGGUGGGAGGCAAAGGCUGCCCAGGUUGGGAUGUCACCCCUGUGCAAGCCCUUGGUGCUGCAGUCACAGUCACGAGCAUCCGCAUCUCAAAGAGCUUUACAAACACCAGCGGCUCCAUUAUCCCUUCAGCUACCACUGGUGUUCAUGGAGGCGCAGGCACACAGCUGACAAAAAACAUCAUGUGUCGCUUAAUUACGCUUCUCGCUGCCCUUGUGGAGGAGGUAGGAGAUAAUUGCUACUCUCGAUGGAAGGGUUUGAGCCAAAGUGGGGAAGCCUGACAUUGAAUGUUCUGCAUUUAAAUUCCUAAUUUUGCAUCAUUAAAGGUGGAGAGGAGAAUGAAUCUGUACGGACUGUCUCCAUCCCAGUGGGAGAUCUUGGUGCCCCGCUUCCCACAGAGACCAGGCCAAACGCUUCAUGACCUGCAGUUGUAUCCUCCAAAGCUGAACCCUUAGCUUGGAAAACUCAGGAUUUUCACAAGCAGGUCAGCAGCAGAAAAAGACAAGAGAGGUGAUGGAUGAGUGGAUGGGACCCGUUGGGUCACCAGUUCCCCCAGUCCUGGGUUGCAGGUUACAGGUACUUUGUCCAAAAUAGCUCAUGGGAGCCUUGUUUUCCAGCCCCGCUCUGGAGCUGAGCACCAGGCAGUGCAGAGCCGGUGCCAGCAUCUGUCGAGGGAGGACAGGAUGAUCCCCAAGCUGUCGGAGAUGCUGAGAUCUUCACCCAGGGAAAGUGUCUUUCAAUUAGUGUCUUGCAGAACCUAAACCAGCAGCGCUGAAAGGCUGCUGCUUCCCACCGGCAUUCACAUGCAGAGCAGCACUCCCGUUAUUGCCAUCCGCAGCACCAGGCUGUCACCCCUGUCUUUAAUUCCUAAUUAUGUUUUCAUUAUAUUUACAGCAUUAAAUUUUUUUAGUGAUUACUGGCCAGAGCUGAUUUGCACAGGCACUUGGAUGAAUUAUUUUAUCAGAAAUCAACACGCGCUGCCAGAGCGCUUGCUCAUGCCUGUAUUUUUCUCAAAGAAAGGAGUAGAAGCGACUAAUUGUUUUCAAUCCAUCAGCCUUGGAAACUGUUGCUUUGUGCAGAAGAUGACAGCAGUGCCUGGCCAAUAGACCCGUAACAAGCCGCUCUGGCUGCGGUUUGCCGUGGAGCCUAAAGUGUCGCAGGGACAUGUAAGAGGGACUUGUGCUGGUAGGGUUAGAGUGAUUAUCUGAUGAUACUGAUGUUGUACAGCCCUGGGUGACCAUAAAAACCAUAAAAACAAAUCAACCCUGCUUUUGGAUCAACAGACUCUUUCCAGCAUCAGCUACCGAGCACCGUGGUGCAGCGGUCUUGUUCCUUUCGCCCUACAAGCACCUGGGGUUUUUGGAAUAUUCGUAGUGGCUUGGUCAAUUCAUCACCGACACCUUUUUUAUACCAGAGGAAAAGCGUGUUUCCAUCAGGACUAAAAAGGAGACGAUUUCCAGUGAAGCAGAGCAGUUAAAGCUCGCCUUGUCUAUCUUCACGUGCUCUAUCACCUGCUGGUAGCCUGCUGCUACACAGCAGGGAGGAUAACAGCAUUUCCCCAAGGGAUUUUCAUUAUUUGUGCAGAUACAAGUAUAUAAGCAGCUACAUCAGAGGUGGAGGGUGGAGACAGAGAGGGGUUUAACUGACAAUAAUUUCACCUUUUGUUUCACAUUCAGCUUUCAGAACUGUCACGCUGGGAGGAGAAAAGCAAAUCACUGUGAGCCAGAGGAGCGGGAUGCAAACCCGGUGGGAACGCGUGUGGCUGGAGACAGAGCUGGGCUUUGGGGACACGGGACAAACUGUCCCCCAUCCCCAGGCUUGGGAAUACCUUCCUGCACAAGGUGCUUUGGAGUGUGCAGUUAUACAAGAGCUGAAUGUGAAACAAAGAGAUUUUUUAACCAUCAAAGUAAAAAGCCAUAAAGUUGACCCUGGGAGCCCCUCCUGUCCCAUGCCAAGGGGUUCUUCUGGUCCUUUCCUACAAAACCCUCCCUUUGAGGGCUGUGCUGGUGGGACCACAACCUUCAUGCAGGUCCCAUCUGGUGGGGCCAAAAGUGGGACCAUUGCCCACCCAGGCAGCAUCCCACGCCCGCUUCAGGAAAGAGCAGAUCUGCGCUGCGGAGAGGUGGGGCAUGGUGAGCAUUGCCGCCUGCACCCCCGGGAAGGCUUUGCUCUCUUAGGAAGCCCAGGGGAGCUGCGAGGUUUGCAAAACCCCAGUUUGCAGUGAACGCCCCACUGUGGAUCACGAUGCAGCAGCCUGGGAGAGCGGCCACGCUCCUUGGAGUCCCUUGGCAAACCCGCUGGACAAGUCAAUUAGGUUUUCUCCUUUUCUCUCAAUUUGGCUCCUGAGCUGUAUUUGCCAGCUGAUUAGUGUCACUUUCUCUCAGUGCCUGGCAGCUCCGGGGUGUUUUCAGUGCAGCAGCUUCUAGCUGGACGUGCACUCUCCAGGUUUUGCAGGAUGCAAGGCUCGUCUGCGCAGACACUGGUUAACAUAUAACACAGGAUGACGGGAUGGCUCCCCUGUGGGAGGAUGCUCCGCUGGCAGGGAGUUAGUUCCAGCCUAGAAUAAUGUUUCCCAUUAGAAAUGGGAUUAGUUGUGUUAAAAAAAUUCCCUGCUUCUCUGUCGUGGUCGUGUUCCCUGUUCUGGCCCUGCACUGCCCACGCACUUGAACACCAGUAAAUGCAUCUUCCCUCACAGAGGGAUUUUCUUUCUGGUGUUUAUUUACACAACAAAUUGGACUUGCUGUAAUGCUGAACCCAGCACAGGCCUCUGUGCCCCAUCCCUUAUGUAGCUGCUGUAACUCUGACAGCAAAACCUGAUGUGGAUGUUGGGGCAGAGAGCCCAAAGCAGUUGCUCUCCCUGCCAGGUCACAGCUCCCACUGCAGGUCCCUCUCCCUGUCACCCUCACAGCCCUGGGGACAGCCAAGAUCGUUGUCAAAGGCAAGUUUUUGACCAUCUGAAUGCCUCACCCAUGGGUUUAUCCUCCCUGCUUUACCUUCCUGCCAUCCCACACCAACACCAGCACCAGCAGGUCCUUUUCCCACAGGGGCUGCAUGCCCGGCUGGUUUAGUGUUUGCAUGGGCAUCCCGCAGCGCUCUGCUCCUGUGUUUUCUCUGCAGAGCUCGGGAUUCGGUCUGUCCUUUCCAACCCUCGCGCUGCCGGCACGGCUGCUCUUUGCUCUCACGUCAGCUCAUCUGCUUCUUUCUGGCUUGCAGAUUUGGGCAGCUGGAGCUCUGCCCCGAUGUUGUGCAGAGACCCCGCUCUGCUAUGGAGCCGAGCUGUGUGCUGGGUGCACACACAGCCCUGCGCCGGAUCGGGGACCAGAGCCCUGGUUUGGAUUGGCAGCCUGGGUCCCCGAGCGGGGGACACCGUGGUCCUGAGCCCCGGGCAGACCCUCGCGCCCUGGGGCUCUGCCAGCCGCCAAGUCUCCUCUUCCCAUCAGUGAAAGAAUUACCCUGCCCCAGAGUCAGCUUGUUAUUUUUUUUGGCGUUGCUUUUUGGCUUCCAGGAUUGGACUACAGGUUUUCUUUGUUCUGUGUUGUUUUUUUCACCUUCCACCUUCUUGGAUAGCUAAAAAUAACACAUUUCCUUCUCAUUAGCAGCCAGCAGCUCUACCUCCAUUGUUCUUAGAGGUCUGCCUGCAUAUCUCUGUUGGUUUCAUAAACUUCGGUGUCGGAGUUGAGUGCUGUUUUUUCUCUCCCUAAUUGUAAGGCAACAAGAAGCCACAGCUCUGCCAAAAGGUUUUAUUAAAGAAUAAAAACAGCCAGCAAGCAAUCUACACGAGCCAAUAAAAUGGCACCCCAUAUCCCCAAGCUAGCAAGCGCAUGGAAUGACUCUUAAACUGAUAUUUUAUUUGGAAAAGAAAUCAACCUUGACCCACUGCAGUCUAUAAAAUUAAUCAGGCACGAUAUGCCCCAUGCAGAUUUGCAGUCCUUACAAUGCAGGAGCCGAAGGAAUGUCAUCACAGGAGGCACUUAAACCCCCCAUAACACAUCAGUGUGACGCAUCCCGCAACACGUCAAACCCACAAAACAGCGAAGGCACUAGUGACAGAUUACUCUUUACCAUCCCCACGUGUGGCACGGCCGGGGAGUGCUCGACAUCUUUAAUCUUCUGUGUGUCCCAUGGGCUGGUGUCCAUUCUGCAAAAGGGUUUGUGUCCAAGUGGCUCUUCCUGUGAUGCUCAAGGACAAGUUCAAAGUUUGUGGGUAUCUCCAGUAUGCACAUCAGCCUAAACGGCCCUUUGGGAGAUGGCACGAUGAGCUGUGAUUUUUCGGAUAUAUUGCUCUGCAGCAAUCUCUCAUUUAAAUAUUUUAACCAAACCGGCUGGCAAAUGUGAUUCUGCUCCCCGACGGAUAACAGAGCACAUGCAGACAGCGUUCGCAUCUCCAAGUGCUGCCAUUGAUGAUGGUGCCACUGUUUGUGUGAACGCUGCGCACAUGAUUUAAUUGUUUCAAUACAGGCAGUUUAUAGGGCUUGCUUGAGUGGAACAAGAUGAGAGUUGCCAACAUAAGAAAUGACUUGGGAUAUCAGUCUGGGCAUAUCUGUGGACAAAAACAAAGGAUGGCAAUAACUGUCAGCAUUAAAUCAUUUGGCUGUUUCCCUGUCACAAAAUUACUCUUCACAAUACAUUUCCUAACAUGCUGCUGAAUCUUGUUUUGACAGUAACACACCUCCCAGGCUUUCAUUUAUUGUUUUCCACGAGUGGAUUUCCAAGGUCUUUAUCAGUCUUACUAAACUGCAGAUGGGGAAACUGAGUCAUGGGGACAGGUUCUAAUUCAAUUAAAGGCACGCAGUGACAAACGGGAGCAGAGCCCCCUCCCAGACACUCGGCCUGCCGUGUGUCCUGCCUGCUGAGCGGCUCCCCACGGUCCUGGGCAGGACCGUGUCCACACGGGGGUCGCUGCCUCCAGACAGCAGCACGGGUGGGAUGAGAAGGGCUGAGCAGCCUCUGGGAAGGACAUGAGGGGGCUGUGGGAAGGGGACAUGCUGGGGAGCAUUGGGGCUGGUACGUGUCCUUGCAUUGGGAAAGGAGGGACAGUAAUGAAAAUAAUUGAGCAGGAAGUUUAAGUUAAUGAGCAGUUAAUUCCUUCUGCAUAAUUAGAAUCUCUAUAGCCUCAUUUGCAUUAUUUUGCAUAUCUGCAGAUAAUAAUCUGCCAUCAGGAAAAGGGAAGGUAUGGCAGGGCUGCAUGGGCUGUUCGCUUCAGAGUGGAUGGUCCCACGGGCGGCUUUGGGAGAACUGCAGGGCACGUGCCCUUUCCCUCUCCCCCAGGCUCUGGGUCCCGUUUCCUGCUCUCGGCUUCUUACUCCAGCAUUGCUGCCUCUGCUUUUCAAUUAAGAAACUCUUGUGAAUCCUCAUGGUUAAUUUAGGUUGUUGGCUUGCCCUCUCAUGUUAAUUAGGAGACGGGCAGCAUGCAGGCAUACAUGCCGUACAUAGGUCUGAGCAUCAGACCCACACUGCUCACCUUUGCAAGAAGCUAUUCUGCACAGAGGUUGGGUCUCAUAUCCAAAACCAUGACAUCUCUACCCCCUAUGGACACCAUUUGUUGGACACAGUCUGACCUGCGACUCCACUCAACCCUCACGCUCCAGCCAAGCUCUGUCAGCCCCAGCACUGCCUGAAGACCCCCAGGUGCCUUCAUCCACCAUUGACCGAAAGAGCAUAAGGGUGACCCAGCUCCACGGCCCAAUGUGACUGUAAGUUCCUGUUGACACCAUGGGCAAACCAGAGCUUUCCUUUCUCUGCCAUGUUGGGCAGUCUGGUGAAUACAGAGAUUCCUUGUGAUCUUAAACCCAACGUGUCUGCCUCUGCAUGGCCUUGCGCUGAUGUUGUGCUCAGUUUUAGCACAGGGAUGGGUAAACAGCCUGCAUUGCAACCUUGGUUAGACCUUCUUUGCCAUUCCCAGCCCAUCAUCUGUCUUGUUUACUCAGAUUGUGGGUUCUCAGAGGCAGGGACCAUUACUUAUGUGUGUACUAUACUUAGCGCAAGGGGUUUCAGGCUUGGCUGGGUUCUCUAAUAGCAAUGAAUAUUCAAUUUAAAAACCCCCAAACUACUUGAUUAAAAGAAAUCUAUUUAGACUGCAAAGGCAAAGUACUGCCAAUUUAAUAGUUAUCCCUCCAACCUUCAAUCUGCCUCUAAAACUUUUCCAAAUGAAUAAAAUUAGAAGAUGUACCACGUUUUCACCUCAACUAACUCCUACUACAAGUUAAAAAGACAAGGGGCAUGGCUUGUGGCAGGAGCUCCUCCGCUGGGAUGUGAAGUGUCCUGGAAGGAUGGAGAGGUUAACGUUUCUCCAAAGGCUGCAGGAAACAUCUACAAUAGUCAUUGUCAGGCAGAGCAGUGCAAAGGUUCCUCAUGAGUUUCCUUCCAAAAAAUAAAGCGCUUCUUUCUCAUCUCUGCAGAAAUUAGCAAAAUUUGGAGACAUUUCUGGUAUUUCCACCCCUUCCUGAUGAGGUUAAACAGGUUUUAGACUCUCCUUAAAUCUCCUGUCAGUUCCCCAGGAACCAGUGGCGGAGAACUGGGAUGUGUCACUGUUACACCCACUGCAUGUUUGUAGCCCCCAGCCCAACUACAGGCACAUCCAAUGCACAUUCUACCUCAGUUCGUGGACUUCUCUGGAGCUCCUGGAGGUCCUGAACACAGAUCCCAGCCCCCUCACACGCCUGUGGAAAACCCUGCCCCUAAAGUUCCUAGGAACCUACUUUCUGUCUAAGCCUGUAUUUACUUUUCCAUAUGAAACCCAGAGCAUUAAAUAAGUUUUAUAGAGUGUCCUGAUAGCAGAACAGACUGGUAUCUCCCUUUUGUGACUCAACAUAAGCUGUCUUUAGUCAUUAAACACAACCAACAGCAUGAACAUUUCAUGAGCAGAUAGUUAAAUUUUAAUUUCCCCAUUGAAUUCAUUAAGGUGUGAUCAUGCAUCUGAAUCGAAUUUAGCAACCUGGCAAGGAACCAAAUUAAACAUGACAUAGUGACAGGGUUUCCUUUUCAUUGUACUUGAUCACCCUCCUCUACCCUUGCCCUAUUAAAAUAAGUGUUGUUUCUUUCCCUCUUGAACAUUUCUUAAUCAAAGUCUUUGCUGAAAUGAAGGAAGACCAUCCUGCCUUAAGCACCAGUCGGAGACAUACGCAGUGCACUAAAGAGAGGUCUGACAGAAUUUAUUGUUAAUGUUGGUUGAUGGAGUAAUUGCAACAGAGGCAAAAAACCCAGGUGUUUCGCAGAGAAACGUGGUGGUCUCUGUUAUAAUGCUCAGUUUAUUAUAUCAAAUAGAUUGCAUGCAGGCGGAGUUUGCAGCAUAUGUGCUUUCUGUACUGCCAGCCUCCCUUCAGUCCUUCCAUCUCCCCAUUCACGAUUCCUGGUAGGAGAGGAAGGGUUUUCUGAGUGCAGGAGGCUGCUGGUGCAGAGGAGCAGAAAUCCAAGGCUCAGCAAGGUGGAUCCUCUCCCUUCUUUGUUGUCUGCUUUCAUUCUUUGGGAACAGGAGUGAGCAAAAACAACUAACUCUGGGGAACACACACGGCUUUACUCAGAAGAAACACUAAUAAGACAACACAUCAAGGAGGAACCAGGAGACCCUGUAUGCAGUUUCCUCAACGCAUCACCCCAUCCCAGGUCUCUUCUCUCCCAUCUCUUUCUUGGAGAGGUUGGCCCUUUUCUAACAUGUUGCUGGGUUUGGAGGAGUUAAGUUCUGCCCCACUUCUCCCGUGUCUCUCGGUCCCAGGUCUUCAGGUCCUCCUUACCCAGGGGACAGGCCAAGGGCUCCUGGUGCUUGGUGGUGUGGUAGGAGAAGGAGCAACGUGGCCCUUCCACUCAGCUCCGGGAGAUUCCCUGCACCCUGCGUUUGCCUGCAAAGAGGUUGCUCAUCAUGGGGACAAGGGCAGGUCCCAUACCCUCAUGGGAGAUCCUCACAGAAUAUUCCAGAUGAGACUUUCACUCUGUGCCCAGACACUGUUAUAAUUGUGGGCAAGAAUUGGGGAAAAUCACUCAUUACCAGGCUGCCAUCUGCAUUUCUGAGCGUGGUGUGUGGUCUAUGCAAGACGCUGGUAACGAGCCAAAAUGUGCUUUUGAGACGUCUGUGUACCUGAUGUCUCAUAUAAUAUUUAGUGUGGGCAACUUAGCAACCCAUGAUAAAACAACCAUCCAGCUGGGUGGGUGGCAGUCACAGCAGCAAGCCAGCUAGAAACAAAGUGGGAACUGCUUUUAAAACACUUCCUGCUCGGUCCAAGAAGAGUCAUCACGAGCACUGGAGCUGCUGAUGAGACAGGGUAUGAGUACGAGCCUCUCAUACCAUACCCUGUGUGGGUCCACACAGGGCAGACAAGGACGGUUAUAUCCGCGUAUGAACCAAACCUCCAAGGAGAUGCAGCUGGGGUCUGGUGGAGGAGGGAAGCUUUUGGAGAUGAGGAUAGUAGCAGGAAGAUGGAUUGUUGCUGUGAGAGCUUAUUGCCAGCUCUGAGAUCGGAGUCAUAUCUGGGGAGGUAUAUGCUUGUUAAACCUCAGCUCCAUUUCUGGUUUGUAUUUGUUUUACUUCUCACCUUUUGCUUCCAAUCUUGUACCUACAAAUCUGACCUUAAAUCUUAGAAGACUGCUCUCUCCUCGGUGUUGCUGUGAAGUGUGGCGGGUAUUUAGGGCACAGUGAAAUACAGGGAUGAACUGAGAAUGCCUGGAAACGGCAGAUCUUAACCGCGUCUGGGCAGCUUGGGGAAGUCCUGCUAUCCUGCCAAAUGCACAGGGGGAAAAUCUGUUGCUACACGUUAGUUUUUGGGCAGGAAUUUCUCUAAUUCCCACUCCGAGCCCGCUCCCAGCAAAGAGAACGGAGGGGUGCUCCACGGCCCUGAGCGGAGCCUUCGUCUCAGCUCUGCUGGAAAACGGACAGGCUAAUUUCCAGGGGCAGUUGGGAAUGGUAUUUCACAUAACCAGCCGGUGCUCUGAGUGCUGACACAAUGUUCUCCGAAAAUGACCACAAUUUGUCUCGGUGGCUAAUCAGCCCCGCUGUUACAGAAGUGUGCCGCCUCUCUCAUUUACAUGUGUCUGGCUCUAACUUUCAGCCAUUAGGUCUUCGUUCUGUCGUUCCCUGUGAGAUUAAAGAGCCCUUUAGUCCUCGAUACUUUUCCCUGCAAUGGUUCUUACGCACUAUAAUCAAGUUACCUCUUGAUCUUCCUCAGAUGAGCUGAAAACACCGAGCGUGCUGUCUCUGGGAGACAGUUCUGCCAUUUCCAACAGUAUUUGGGAGGACUUGACUGCCUGUGCCCCUUCCCCUCUAAUUUUUAAUAACCUUUCCGAAAUGUCAGUGCAGAAACUGAGGACUAUCUUCCAGCCAUGAGCACACGGAAAGUCAGCUCCCAGCUCCCACUCAUUAAUUCCCCUUCUACUAUUUCCCAGCGUCACGCAAACCCAUUUUCAACGCUGCCACCACGGGGCUCCCGCCCCGCUGCCCACCAGCGAUGUUCACUCCCACGGCCCUGCUGCAAGCUGUGCUUCCACAAAUAGUUUCUGGUUUGGAGGUCUGACCUUCAUUCGCUCUUUCUUCAAUAACUGACCUUGAAUUUGUUGUUAUUCAAAUUACGCAUUGUUUGAAUGGAUCUGAUUUAUUAAGGAAAUCAGGUGACCCGCACUGCACUAUCCUCGCUGUUGUUAAUUGCUCUGCCAAUCUUUGUGACAUCUGUAAUUACCAGCGGUGAUUUCCUUCCAGAUCAUUGCUAAAAAUAUUGAAUAACUUGGCCUGGAAGUGGUCUUGGCAGAACCCACUUUAACGUCCCUGUUCAGCAAUGUGUCCCACCGCUAACCGCCUUUUGAAAGCUGUCAGCUAACCCAACCUCAGCCAUUUCACAUGCACUCUGCUAAUUUGGCACAGAGUUCAUUAUAAAUAUAUCAGAAUGUUGUGCAACGGGAUACCCAAAGCUUAGCAGAAAUCAAUUUUUCUUUUUACAAGACUGAUUUCUGGGCAAGACAAAGGAAAAGAAGAAAACAGCAAAACUUAAUCCCAUCCUCAUCGUUUGCUCUCCGUCGAGUCCUUGACCAGUCUCUCAUUUAGUCUGCAGGGACCAGCAUAAAGUUAACUGAGCAGUAAACAUCCAAAUUAUAUGGACUAUUUUUGCACACUAACACAGCAGUGGCAUUCAUCCAAUUUCCUGCAGAUAUCCCAGUAAUCCAAGAUUAUGAAAAAUUAGCACAACUGGGCCAGAGCUCACCUUCGCCAAUUAUUUUAGGACUCCUGGGUGAAAACCAUCAUGGUCUGCUGUUUUAAAACUUUCCACACUCAAAAUAGUUACUGUAAGUAGCUGGAAAUUGCUAAAACUAAUAAAUGCCAAAAAAAAGUAGAACUUGAAAUGGUUACCAGUGGUCUGGAAAGUUGUGCUGGAGCCCCAUACACGGCGAGAACAAAGAGCGCUUUCAGCCAGUUUUCAGAGCUGGUCUCUUUGUUGUGCUGCACUGGAGAGGCUGGAGAAGAUUUACAGCAGGAUGCCCUGGCGAUUAAAGGCAAGGAUGCCCACCCGGGAGCAGGGAGACGUGCUGGAAUCGUCCUAAAAGGAAGAGUUGUGGUCGCAGUAAAACAAAAGAUGACUGAACAUGACCUGCAAAAAUGCAGAAAACGUUUUAUGAGGCAUGACUUGCAAAAUAUCACAACCCUAGUUUAUAGCUCAAAGCCAACUGCAUUCCUAAGAGAAAAAAAGUGAACGUGGGUCGGGAAAAUACCACCUGGAGGAUCAUCCCUCUGCAAGGUGGUGUGAGGUGAGCAGACGGGUGUUCUGCCAGAAGCCAUUCCUAAGAGGUUCACUGUGCUCCCCAAAGACAGGGUGCGACAAGGUCAUGCCCACGCUCCUGGGGAUGUUAAAUCAUGAAUCCAAAGUGGAAAUCGGCAGAGAGACUGUGAGCAUUUGCACACCCCAGCACCGGGACCUUCUACCCCUCACAUGGCUCCUCCAGCACCUGGGCAAGGAGGUAGAAGGAGAACCCCACAGCCAUCAGUUCUUCGACACCUCCUUCACCUUCCCACCAUAAUUAUUCUCCUUCCAAAACCAUUUCCUGAAUUCCAGUUUACUUAAAAAUCCCCUUCUGCCAAGAGCGGUCUCAGUUGAAGCUGCCCCCUUUUGCACAGUUCGAGGUUCAUUUAUCCUGUGAUGUAAUUGAUGAUGUUUCAUCGAAGGCGAUGAAGACACCUGAGGCCACGUGCAGCAUUGCUGCAGUCUCAGAGCUCGGAUAAAUGUGUUAUCCCCAAUUAACAGGCAGAGAUUUGGGCCCAGGGUGAGCACCCCCGUGUUUGACACACCAGCGUUCCAAGCACGGAGCCCAAACCCCUGGGAGCUGUGUCCGUCACACUCUUUAAUAGGUGGCCAAACCCACAACAAGUCGCUGUGAACGAGAGGCCAUCCGCACAAAACCUGACAUUAACAGCAGCAGAAGAAAAGGCUUGAAUUGUCCUCCUGUGAAAUGUUAAGCUUAAGUACUAUUCCCCUGUCACUGGCUUCUCGUUCUCCUGAUUUUUAAUGCAUCUUUUUUCAUUUCCUUCCUCUUUAUAUUUUCCUGCUCCUCUGGAUGGCCUGAUCUGCUUGUUUGCGAUAGAUUUAUGACUGUUUGUAUUUUGUGUGAUUAAUAAAUUCUGCUGUGAUUUAUGUUUCA
Molecule: long non-coding RNA, 26791 nt
Organism: Columba livia (rock pigeon)
Lineage: Eukaryota; Metazoa; Chordata; Aves; Columbiformes; Columbidae
Exons: 2
Source: RefSeq, a predicted model, not a curated record